GGUUACAGGAAAGAGGAAUUAUACGACGAAGGAUAAAUAGUGGCGAAAGGCAACAUGUUCUUGGCAGAGAAAUUGCUUUUGGAAGACAUGUUGCUUUUGACAGACGACCAUCGAUUUAUAAUAGACGACCAUCGUAUAGCAAACUACGAGUUUAUAGCAGACAACCAGCUUAUAAAAGACGAUGGCAUCGAAGACCAAGCCAAGGAUAGCAUAAACGAACUACUGAUAUUGCAAGACAUCUGCUGGAAUAGGCAUUGUUCUAUGCAAUUGAUAAAUAAAAGCAAGAAAGAAG
Long non-coding RNA from Ostrea edulis (European flat oyster), 292 nucleotides. RefSeq lists it as uncharacterized. The transcript is spliced from 2 exons. The record is from RefSeq and is a predicted model, not a curated record. NCBI's taxonomy places the organism in Eukaryota, Metazoa, Mollusca, Bivalvia, Ostreida, Ostreidae.